Molecule: ribosomal RNA, 507 nt
Filed under: uncultured Enterobacterales bacterium
Lineage: Bacteria; Pseudomonadati; Pseudomonadota; Gammaproteobacteria; Enterobacterales
Description: bacterial SSU rRNA
Rfam family: Bacterial small subunit ribosomal RNA
Source: RNAcentral
GCGACGAUCCCUAGCUGGUCUGAGAGGAUGACCAGCCACACUGGAACUGAGACACGGUCCAGACUCCUACGGGAGGCAGCAGUGGGGAAUAUUGCACAAUGGGCGCAAGCCUGAUGCAGCCAUGCCGCGUGUAUGAAGAAGGCCUUCGGGUUGUAAAGUACUUUCAGCGGGGAGGAAGGUGUUGUGGUUAAUAACCGCAGCAAUUGACGUUACCCGCAGAAGAAGCACCGGCUAACUCCGUGCCAGCAGCCGCGGUAAUACGGAGGGUGCAAGCGUUAAUCGGAAUUACUGGGCGUAAAGCGCACGCAGGCGGUCUGUCAAGUCGGAUGUGAAAUCCCCGGGCUCAACCUGGGAACUGCAUUCGAAACUGGCAGGCUAGAGUCUUGUAGAGGGGGGUAGAAUUCCAGGUGUAGCGGUGAAAUGCGUAGAGAUCUGGAGGAAUACCGGUGGCGAAGGCGGCCCCCUGGACAAAGACUGACGCUCAGGUGCGAAAGCGUGGGGAGCAAA